Molecule: long non-coding RNA, 1263 nt
Filed under: Solanum tuberosum (potato)
Lineage: Eukaryota; Viridiplantae; Streptophyta; Magnoliopsida; Solanales; Solanaceae
Description: long non-coding RNA (STUB_LNC004594)
Source: RNAcentral
AAACAUCUUAUUCCCUUUAUUUAUUUCCUCUCUUCUUUUUCUUAUUACCCUCUCCAAAUUUGGCGUUAAUCUCAGGCUUCACUCUCUCGUUCUUUCUUCAUUAGAUCCCUCUUCCAUAAUCAUCUUUCAGGUAACAUCUCUACGUUUUAUCAUUUAUAAAUUCAAAUUAUAAAAACUUAUCUAAUUAGAGUUUGUGUUUUUUUUUAAAAAAAAAAAAUCAGUUUUCAGAUUAAUUUUCUUGAUUCGAGAUAGUUUUUUUUCAUGAUUCUUAUCUAUAAUUCAGCAAUCAUAUUGUUAAAAUCAAAAUUUUCAUUUUUUUUUGGCUGAAUUUUUUGGGAUACAUUUAUCUUUUUCGGUGAUUUGCAUUUGAUUUGAGGUUAUUCAUCACAUUUUUUUUGUUUUAUUUAUGACCUGAAUUUGUUGUUGUGUUAUGAUCUGAAGAUCAAAUCGUAUUAACUUUGAAUUUUGAAUUUGAAUUUUUUCAUAGAGAGCUUUGAAUUGUGAAUUUAAAUUUUGAUUUCUGAAAAAUUGCUUUCUCAUUCAGAUCCAUUUCAUGAUACGCUGGAUUUUGCAACAAAUCAAUACUUUCAUUCCGUUUUAUAUGAGGACAUUUUAAAGGGAGUUGAGUUUAAGAUGUUAUAUUGAGUUAUAUAUUAUGUCAGUGAUAAUGGAAGAAAAAUAUUAUAAUGAUAGUCGAAGAUUUAGUUUCAUUGAAGAACAUCAUAUCAAAAUUGAAAGUUUAAAUAGCUUAAUGGAUUUGAAGGUGUUCUGCAUUGACAGUUUGAUGAAUUUUUUGAGUGUUAAAGGUUGAUAAUCAUGUCUAAUUGUUAUUGAAAAAAGUAAUAUAAAGUAAGGGUUGAGACACUUUUGAUAAAAGAUAACUUUCUGUAACACAAAAAAAUCAGAUAAUGACUAUCAUGAAAGUGUUUUCCUUUAUACAAGACACACACUAGUUCUGGAAAUUUUAAACAUUCCAAAAUAGACAGUUGUGAUAUAAAUUGAGGAGACGAGAGUACAUACUAUUUCAUUACUUGAUUUAUGACUCAUAUUAUAUAUUUGUUAAUAUAUUUUAUUAUAUCAUUUAGUUCUCUUUUAGCAUAGGGACACCAACAAGGAGAAAUGGGGUUGACAUUCACCAAGCUUUUCAGCCGGCUUUUCGCCAAGAAAGAAAUGCGAAUUCUCAUGGUUGGACUUGAUGCAGCUGGUAAGACCACCAUAUUGUACAAGCUCAAGCUGGGCGAGAUCGUUACUACUAUUCCUACC